UCGGAUUGCAGGCUGCAACCCGCCUGCAUGAAGCCGGAAUCGCUAGUAAUCGCGGAUCAGAAUGCCGCGGUGAAUACGUUCCCGGGUCUUGUACACACCGCCCGUCACACCAUGGGAGCCGGGAAUGCCCGAAGUCAGUGGCCCAACCGAAAGGGGGAGCUGCCGAAGGCAGGCCUGGUGACUGGGGUGAAGUCGUAACAAGGUAAC
Molecule: ribosomal RNA, 207 nt
Filed under: uncultured bacterium
Lineage: Bacteria
Description: partial 16S ribosomal RNA
Rfam family: Bacterial small subunit ribosomal RNA
Source: RNAcentral